RNAcentral lists this long non-coding RNA (1246 nucleotides) under Coturnix japonica (Japanese quail). RNAcentral describes it as "lncRNA (ENSCJPG00005006850.1)". The record is from RNAcentral. Lineage: Eukaryota; Metazoa; Chordata; Aves; Galliformes; Phasianidae.
AUGUGUUUUUCUUAUUCUUCAUGUAGAUGGGAGCAUCACCCCUCAGCUUGUUGUGAGAGAUGGAGGCGUCCUCCAAGAGACGGAGCUCGCUCUCCUCCUGGCUGCAGUCAGAUCACAGUGGAUUUGGCCAUACACAGGAGUAGGUCGAGGGAUCCCCGCGGCGCAUGCGAGCUUCCAUUUAUCAACACGACGUUUCCCUUGCAGCGAGAGAUAAAUACGCUGCCUGUUAAUGGGAACAAACUGAGUUUGGGAAGGCUGUUUCAGAGCUUGAUGUUGAAGGUGAAGGUGAAUCAUAGGAUCGUAGAAUCAUUGAGGUUGGAAAAGACCACAAAGGUAAGUCCUACCAUCAACCAUCACUCAUGGCCACUGUGCAUACUGGGGCACUGCUUUCCAUCCAGAAGCAGCUGUAGCCAUCCAGAUAGUAGAAAUAGCACCCAAAUACUUCCACCAGUGGUUGGAGGAUCUCCCUACCCACAGUUUGUUCCACAUUGACCAAAUCUAUUAUGCUCAGAUGAGCCCUUCUCCAUUGUGCUGACAGAAUGAAACCAUGGCUCCCACUCUUGACAUCUCCAGGGCUACCUUUCCCAGAUGGGCCAUCAGUGCUCACCUGGAUCCCCAUAUGCACAGUCAUCUUGUUCUUCUCCCCCCUCCUCCAGGUUGUAGGCAGCACUGUGGGGCUGGGAGCAGGGGAAGGUUUGACUCAGCAUCCUGGAUUUAAAUCGUCUUAGUCUGGCUUGUUGCAGAACCCAAACCAACAAAUGCCUUAUGAUAAACCAAAGCCACAGCUGCUGCAGCUACCAACCAGGCUUUGCUCCCAGGAACACCACACCUGCCCCAACUCUUUCCUGGUAUCUCCAUCAGCCUUUCUGAACUCUUUUUCCCCAUGAGUAGUUUUCUGUGGAGGUACAACUUCUCCAAAGCAUCUGUUCUUUUUAUGCACAGACCAUUUGGAUGGGAUAUAAAGUUUUCUAUAAUGAGUGGUGAGGCAGUAGCACUGGUUGCCCAGAAAGGUGGUGGAUCCCCAUCCCUGCAGACACCCAACGUCAGGCUGGAGGGGCUCUGAGCACUGAUGGAGCUGUGGGUGUCCCUUUGCAUUGCAGGUGGAUUGGACCAAAUGGCCUUUAGGGUCCUUUCCAACUCAGACCAUCCUAUAACUGUCUGAUUCUCUGCACACUACCCAUGGCGCCCCUGAGCAGCUCUGUGCUGGCAGCAGCUCCUCCACAGGGCCUGUCACUGUCAGCAGACA